This 433-nucleotide ribosomal RNA is filed under the name uncultured bacterium. Its description in RNAcentral is "partial 16S ribosomal RNA". It matches the Rfam family "Bacterial small subunit ribosomal RNA", at positions 29 to 507 of the family's 1533-position model. The record is from RNAcentral.
AACGAACGCUGGCGGCAGGCUUAACACAUGCAAGUCGAGCGAGACCUUCGGGUCUAGCGGCGGACGGGUGAGUAACGCGUGGGAACGUGCCCUUCUCUACGGAAUAGCCCCGGGAAACUGGGAGUAAUACCGUAUACGCCCUUUGGGGGAAAGAUUUAUCGGAGAAGGAUCGGCCCGCGUUGGAUUAGGUAGUUGGUGGGGUAAUGGUCCACCAAGCCGACGAUCCAUAGCUGGUUUGAGAGGAUGAUCAGCCACACUGGGACUGAGACACGGCCCAGACUCCUACGGGAGGCAGCAGUGGGGAAUCUUAGACAAUGGGGGCAACCCUGAUCUAGCCAUGCCGCGUGAGUGAUGAAGGCCUUAGGGUUGUAAAGCUCUUUCAGCUGGGAAGAUAAUGACGGUACCAGCAGAAGAAGCCCCGGCUAACUCCGUG